This 318-nucleotide long non-coding RNA is filed under the name Oryza sativa Indica Group (long-grained rice). Its description in RNAcentral is "lncRNA OsMH63_10G003440". Lineage: Eukaryota; Viridiplantae; Streptophyta; Magnoliopsida; Poales; Poaceae. The record is from RNAcentral.
ACUCCCUCUCCAGCCUCCUCGCCGCCCUCCCCGCCGGCGCACGCUGUCGUCGUCCCGUUCGCUUCCACCUGCGACAUUGGCGGCGCGAGCGCGGGGCAGACACGCCGCCGUCGUGGAGUGCGAUGCGGUGCUCAAGGCGCUGAGCCUGGUCUCUCCCAAGGGCGGCGACGCGCCGCGGCCCGCGGGGGCUCCGGGAGAAGCCCCGGCACUCUGAGAAGCCCACCAAGUACGUCGGCUGCCCGAGGAGCGGCAGCGCGCCCCGUGUCAUCAACCAGCCUCGCUAGGCUGCCAUGGCGAAGCUCCAUCCUUGAUGGGUAA